Molecule: ribosomal RNA, 715 nt
Filed under: Salmonella enterica subsp. enterica serovar Typhimurium
Lineage: Bacteria; Pseudomonadati; Pseudomonadota; Gammaproteobacteria; Enterobacterales; Enterobacteriaceae
Description: partial 23S ribosomal RNA
Rfam family: Bacterial large subunit ribosomal RNA
Source: RNAcentral
CCCCGGUAAACGGCGGCCGUAACUAUAACGGUCCUAAGGUAGCGAAAUUCCUUGUCGGGUAAGUUCCGACCUGCACGAAUGGCGUAAUGAUGGCCAGGCUGUCUCCACCCGAGACUCAGUGAAAUUGAACUCGCUGUGAAGAUGCAGUGUACCCGCGGCAAGACGGAAAGACCCCGUGAACCUUUACUAUAGCUUGACACUGAACAUUGAGCCUUGAUGUGUAGGAUAGGUGGGAGGCUUUGAAGUGUGGACGCCAGUCUGCAUGGAGCCGACCUUGAAAUACCACCCUUUAAUGUUUGAUGUUCUAACGUGGACCCGUAAUCCGGGUUGCGGACAGUGUCUGGUGGGUAGUUUGACUGGGGCGGUCUCCUCCUAAAGAGUAACGGAGGAGCACGAAGGUUGGCUAAUCCUGGUCGGACAUCAGGAGGUUAGUGCAAUGGCAUAAGCCAGCUUGACUGCGAGCGUGACGGCGCGAGCAGGUGCGAAAGCAGGUCAUAGUGAUCCGGUGGUUCUGAAUGGAAGGGCCAUCGCUCAACGGAUAAAAGGUACUCCGGGGAUAACAGGCUGAUACCGCCCAAGAGUUCAUAUCGACGGCGGUGUUUGGCACCUCGAUGUCGGCUCAUCACAUCCUGGGGCUGAAGUAGGUCCCAAGGGUAUGGCUGUUCGCCAUUUAAAGUGGUACGCGAGCUGGGUUUAGAACGUCGUGAGACAGUUC